UCACUAUCUGUUGGAGGACCGUGUCGGUGA
Molecule: small RNA, 30 nt
Filed under: Bombyx mori (domestic silkworm)
Lineage: Eukaryota; Metazoa; Arthropoda; Insecta; Lepidoptera; Bombycidae
Description: ovarian small RNA-6915
Source: RNAcentral